UACAGAGGUCCCAAGCGUUGUUCGGAUUCACUGGGCGUAAAGGGCGCGUAGGCGGCCUGUUAAGUCGAACGUGAAAUCCCCGGGCUCAACCCGGGAACUGCGUCCGAUACUGGCAGGCUUGAAUUCGGGAGAGGGAUGUGGAAUUCCAGGUGUAGCGGUGAAAUGCGCAGAUAUCAGGAGGAACACCGGUGGCGAAGGCAGGUCUCUGGGCCACUACUGACGCUGAGAAGCGAAAGCAUGGGGAGCGAACAGG
RNAcentral lists this ribosomal RNA (253 nucleotides) under uncultured bacterium. RNAcentral describes it as "partial 16S ribosomal RNA". It matches the Rfam family "Bacterial small subunit ribosomal RNA", at positions 524 to 776 of the family's 1533-position model. The record is from RNAcentral.